AAGGCUUUAGCUUAAUUAAAGUGUCUGUUUUGCAUACAGAAGAUGUGGGAUAGUGUCCUGCAAGUCUUA
This 69-nucleotide transfer RNA is filed under the name Auriglobus modestus (bronze puffer). RNAcentral's name for it is "tRNA-Ala". It matches the Rfam family "tRNA". From Rfam's summary of the family: Transfer RNA (tRNA) molecules are approximately 80 nucleotides in length. Lineage: Eukaryota; Metazoa; Chordata; Actinopteri; Tetraodontiformes; Tetraodontidae. The record is from RNAcentral.